Molecule: non-coding RNA, 147 nt
Filed under: Gorilla gorilla gorilla (western lowland gorilla)
Lineage: Eukaryota; Metazoa; Chordata; Mammalia; Primates; Hominidae
Source: Rfam by way of RNAcentral
GCCGGGCAUGGUGGCGUGCGCCUGUAAUCCCAGCUACUGGGGAGGCUGAGGCAGAAGAAUCGCUUGAACCCAGGAGGUGAGGUUGCAGUGAGCUGAGAUUGCGCCACUGCACUACAGCCUGGGUGACAGAGCGAGAGUCCGUCUCAA